Molecule: transfer RNA, 72 nt
Filed under: Camelus dromedarius (Arabian camel)
Lineage: Eukaryota; Metazoa; Chordata; Mammalia; Artiodactyla; Camelidae
Also listed under: 1 other name
Rfam family: tRNA
About the family: Transfer RNA (tRNA) molecules are approximately 80 nucleotides in length.
Source: Rfam by way of RNAcentral
GGGCAUAUAGCUUAGCGGUAGAGUACAUGCUUAGCAUGCACAAGGUCCUGGGCUCAAUCCCCAGUACUUCCU